GAUGAAGAACGUAGCGAAACGCGAUAAGUAAUGUGAAUUGCAGAAUUCAGUGAAUCAUCGAAUCUUUGAACGCACAUUGCGCCCGCCAGUAUUCUGGCGGGCAUGCCUGUUCGAGCGUCAUUUCAACCAUCAAGCCCUGCUUGCGUUGGGGUCCUGCGGCUGCCCGCAGGCCCUGAAAACCAGUGGCGGGCUCGCUAGUCACACCGAGCGCAGUAAUACAUCUCGCUUUGGGCGUGCGGCGGGUUCUUGCCGUUAAACACCCCCUUUUUACCAAGGUUGACCUCGGAUCAGGUAGGAAUACCCGCUGAACUUAAGCAUAUCAAUAAGCGGAGGA
Molecule: unclassified non-coding RNA, 334 nt
Filed under: soil metagenome
Description: partial contains 5.8S ribosomal RNA, internal transcribed spacer 2, and large subunit ribosomal RNA
Rfam family: 5.8S ribosomal RNA (bases 1-120)
Source: RNAcentral